AUGGAUCCCCUCUAUCGUCCCGAAUUCCUCAUCCUUCUGCUGAAGCAGGAAGGACGCUCUCUCGAGGACCACACCAGAUGGUUUCUCCUAUUAGCUAAUGCCACCAGCUACCCGGACGACGCGCUCUGCACCUUCUACAACACCAGCCUGAACUCCAAGUGCAGAGCGUUGUCGCCCGAAGAUGGUCCUCGGGAGGAUUUCGCCGCAUACGUGGAGUGGACUCUGGCGAGAAAUGGCUCAUCUCUCACCAUCUGCCCCAUAGAGGACCUCGCCAGCCCCACUCCCGACCCAGAGACCAGCCAGCCACCAUCACGCCGCACGGAGCCAGAGCCCACCGCAGCCGCAGAGCCCGAGCCAUCCACUGACAGGGAGCCGGAACUCGAGAGCGCGACUGACCAGGUGUGUGAGCCGGCAACACCGUGCAUCGUGGGAGUCCUCGUGGAGAUCGAGGGCGUGGAGGAAAGCCCUGCCCACACUCCUGCGACUGAGGGUGAGCUGUAUACAGUCUCUGAAGGUCAUAUGGAGCAAGCUCUGGAUCUGAUGGACUGGUCUAUGGAGGUAAUCCCUAAUUUUCCUGUUUCCCCGCUGGUUCCGUCCAGCCCUGAUUCCCCUGUAUACCCUCUCAGUCUCCCACUCCUACCUCCUCCAGUCAUUUCCUCUGCUCCAUUUCUGCUGGUUCCGCCCAGCCCUGAGUUUUCUGUUUCUCCGCUGGUUCCGCCCAGCCCUGAGUUUUCUGUUUCUCCGCUGGUUACGCCCAGCCCUGAGUUUUCUGUUUCUCCGCUGGUUCCGCCCAGCCCUGAGUUUUCUGUUUCUCCGCUGGUUACGCCCAGCCCUGAGUUUUCUGUUUCUCCGCUGGUUACGCCCAGCCUUGAAUCUUCUGUGUCUCCGCUGGUUCCGCCCAGCUCUGAAUCUUCUGUGUCUCCGCUGGUUCCUCCCAGCUCUGAAUCUUCUGUGUCUCCGCUGGUUCCGCCCAGCCUUGAAUCUUCUGUGUCUCCGCUGGUUCCGCCCAGCUCUGAAUCUUCUGUGUCUCCGCUGGUUCCGCCCAGCUCUGAAUCUUCUGUGUCUCCGCUGGUUCCGCCCAGCUCUGAAUCUUCUGUGUCCCCGCUGGUUCCGCCCAGCUCUGAAUCUUCUGUGUCUCCACUGGUUCCGCCCAGCUCUGAAUCUUCUGUGUCUCCUGUAUUCCCUCCCAGCCUCCCUCUCCCGCCUCCUCCCAAACCUGCUGGUCCCUCUACUCCUCUUUCGCUGGUUCCGUCCAGUCCUGAUCCUCCUGUCCUUCCUCCCAUCCUUCUCCUCUCUCCUCCUCCUAGACCAGCCAGUUCCUCGUCAUCCCUGCUGGUGCCAGUCAGUCCCGCAGCUCACCCUCAGUCCGCGCCAUCGGGGCGCGGUGGUUCGCCGCUGGACUGCUAG
RNAcentral lists this long non-coding RNA (1407 nucleotides) under Carassius auratus (goldfish). Its description in RNAcentral is "lncRNA (ENSCARG00000062137.1)". The record is from RNAcentral. Lineage: Eukaryota; Metazoa; Chordata; Actinopteri; Cypriniformes; Cyprinidae.